CAGCCGCCACGGGAAUACGUAGGGUCCGAGCGUUGUCCGGAAUUAUUGGGCGUAAAGGGCUCGUAGGCGGUUUGUCGCGUCGGGAGUGAAAACCAGCAGCUUAACUGCUGGCCUGCUUUCGAUACGGGCAGACUUGAGGCAUUCAGGGGAGAACGGAAUUCCUGGUGUAGCGGUGAAAUGCGCAGAUAUCAGGAGGAACACCGGUGGCGAAGGCGGUUCUCUGGGAAUGUUCUGACGCUGAGGAGCGAAAGUGUGGGGAGCGAACAGGAUUAGAUACCCCGGUAGUCCCUGUCUCUUAUAC
Molecule: ribosomal RNA, 301 nt
Filed under: uncultured bacterium
Lineage: Bacteria
Description: partial 16S ribosomal RNA
Rfam family: Bacterial small subunit ribosomal RNA
Source: RNAcentral